This is a long non-coding RNA of Homo sapiens (human), 1601 nucleotides long. Ensembl annotates it as long intergenic non-protein coding RNA 1844. The record is from Ensembl. NCBI's taxonomy places the organism in Eukaryota, Metazoa, Chordata, Mammalia, Primates, Hominidae.
GGGAAUAGAUGACGUGUCAAAGAUUGACAUCAACCUUGAGUGCUUAUUUGUGGACUUGAGAUACAGAUAAAAAAAAAAAAAAAAAAACCUCCCUAGAGUGAGGGCUACUUGGGAUACAUGCUAUAUCCCAAGGAGUUCUCAGUUUGAGGUCAGCCCCAGCUCUACAACUCACCAGGAGAGUGCGCGAGGAUGAGGGAGAGACAGCCUGCUCUGGUUCUCUUCAAGGUGACAAUGACACCUGUUGACAGAUGAGAAUUCCAGCCAGGAAUACAGAUUUAGGAAUCAUGUUUCUCACUCUCAUGAUGACAUAGAAGAGAUGCGUCUGAAUCUUUCUGCCAGUGUGUUAAAGUUAUUCUGAUAUUGACUGUAGUUCUGAGCUUUGUCUCUAUCCCACCAAACCACUAACUUCUGGAAAUUACUUGUAGACCAAGAUGGGAGGACUCCGUGUGUGGCUCCAUAUGAAUGACUUAUCGUGCCUGUCCAGAGUCAGGGAAAGGAGAAACAAUCUUAUUUGAGAAGGGAGGAUAUCACUGCAGUGGUUGUGAAAUCGUGUUUGGAAGCUAGAUUGCUCUAGACCACUAAGCACACUGGGCAUCCUUCUCUCAUUGCACUGUGAAGUUCAGGUCCUCUGGCUGUCACUCAGACUCCCUUGUGAGUUCCUUGAAGGUGUGGGCAUGUCUCGUUCAUCCUUGGCUCCCCAGUGCCUAGUCCAGCACCCGAAGCAUAGUAAGAUUUCAAUAAAUGUCUGCUCUCUUCAUGUGACAAAGAAACUUCCUAAAAUACUAAAAGCUAAAGGAGAUUGUUAUCUAAGCUUGAGAUGGAAGGUUGCCAGCGGAAACUUGGAGGAUCACAGCCAGUCGCCUGGGAUUGACCACAGGGAGUGGCAGAGGCAGAAAGCAAAAGACCAGUUGCAAUUAUCCAGGUAAAAGAUGGAGGCUGUUGCAAUAAUCCAGAAUCCUGAAUUGAGCCUGUGUUCCCAGUUCCUAGAAACCCUCAAGGUUAUUGGUUUCCUCCUCGCUUAAUAGACCAGUGGAAGAAAUCUACCUCCAGUUCUAUCUUCACAUGAGCAACUGUUUACAGUUUACAAUAUUACUCUGAAAAUCAGUUCUUUUCAAGUUUUAUCUAACACCCACCAGAAGAAACAGAAGAUUAUGAAAAUGGAAUUUGUCAAAGUUCCUCUCCCAACAAUAUGAUAUUUAAUUUUGCUAACAUUUUUUUUUGAACACUUACUAUAUUGCAGACAAUGGUCUAAGUAAAGCAUUUUAUGUGCAUCCUAUCAUGUCAUCAUCACACAGCCCUGUGAGGUAGAUACUAUUAUUAUUAACCACAUUUCACAUUCAAAAAAACUGAGGCUUAGAGAGACUAAGUAAAUUGUCCAAGGUCACACAGCCAUGAAGUGGCAGAGCUGUGGUUAAAACCUAUGUCUGUCUGAUGUUUAAGAUUUUGCUGUUAGCAUUACUUUGAAAUGACAAUAUGAGGGCAUUUUAUGUAUUUUUUUUGCCCCAAUAUGAUCUGCAGAAACUAUGUAUUUUAAGUACUACAUUUCUUUUAUUUACCAAAUUAUUGUCAGAUAAGAAACCGAAAUAAAAGUUUACAGGGUC